GGCAGUAUUCUUGUGGGAGUGACCCGAUUUUCCAGGUGCCGUCCAUCACCCCUUUCUUUGACUAGGAAAGGGAACUCCCUGACCCCUUGCGCUUCCCAGGUGAGGCAAUGCCUCGCCCUGCUUCGGCUCGCGCACGGUGCGCGCACCCACUGACCUGCGCCCACUGUCUGGCGCUCCCUAGUGAGAUGAACCCGGUACCUCAGAUGGAAAUGCAGAAAUCACCCGUCUUCUGCGUCGCUCAGGCUGGGAGCUGUAGACCGGAGCUGUUCCUAUUCAGCCAUCUUGGCUCCCAGUUGUGUCGUUUUAAGGUCUGGAAAUAACUGGGAAAGAAAAGCCUUGUUGAAAGAAGACAUCUCCAGGGAAAACAUGCUGCUUCUUCAAAGACUCCAGUUUCAGAUGGCAAAAUGCAUGGAAGCUGAGAUGGACCUUCUGGAGUUUUCGAUAAACCACUGUAGCUCAGUCAGAGGUCCAAUUAUGAUGAUACCCACACAGCCCGGUCCUCCCACAGCCUACAUCCAAUCCUCUGAGGAAGCUGAGUGGCACUGCCUUUAUUCACCACAGAUGCUACAGAAUCAGCAGGAAGGAAGACUGUGAAAAGGAAAAAUGCACUCUUUUAAGAGAUGGAGUCUUGCUAUAUUUCCCAAGAUGGACUUGAACUCCUGGGCUCAAGCAAUCCUCCCACCUCAGCCUUCCAAGUUGCUGGAACUAUAUAGGUGCACACCACUGUGUCCGGCUAAAUUUGUGUUUUCCAUGGAUGUAUAAUAUAUUUACAUAUC
This 776-nucleotide long non-coding RNA is filed under the name Pan troglodytes (chimpanzee). RNAcentral's name for it is "lincRNA". Lineage: Eukaryota; Metazoa; Chordata; Mammalia; Primates; Hominidae. The record is from RNAcentral.